This 1215-nucleotide unclassified non-coding RNA is filed under the name uncultured fungus. Its description in RNAcentral is "sequence contains 18S rRNA gene, ITS1, 5.8S rRNA gene, ITS2, 28S rRNA gene". The stretch from base 348 to 1215 matches the Rfam family "Eukaryotic large subunit ribosomal RNA", at positions 1 to 961 of the family's 3401-position model. The record is from RNAcentral. Lineage: Eukaryota; Fungi.
GGAAGGAUCAUAUUGUUUGGGGGGUUGUUUGAUUUUAUUGUUAUUUUUUAUUUUGUUUUAAAUGAAUAUAAUCCUCCUGGCGGGGGAUAACUUGGUUUUCGUGACGAUGACGAACGCAGCAAAGCGCGAUAUUUAAUGCGAAUUGCAGAAUUCAGUGAGUCAUCAAAAUUUUCAAUGCAAUGCAGCUUUGGUACAUGUACCUAGCUAUGUUCGUUUGAGUGUUAGCAUGUAGCAGUGAAGCCUAGUGCGUAUGUAUGUCUGUUUUUUAUGAUCAGAUCAAGUGGAUAAUCCGUUGGAAAUAGUAUCAGUCGAAAAACUACUACUACACCAACAACAACACCAUUACAAAACCUCAAAUCGAACAGGAUUACCCCCUGAAUUUAAGCAUAUUAUUAAGGGGAGGAAAGGAAAUCAACAGAGAUUCCCAUAGUAACGGCGAGUGAAAUGGGAAAAGCUCAUCCCUUAGGCAAAGCCACAAAGCUCUGCGAUGCGGGGUAAGAAAUUGUUUCGAGUGUUUGGACACAGUACAAGUCUCUCUUAAAAGAGACGGAAGAGAGGGUGAAACCCCCGUAUACAACUGAGAAUCAAACACGUACCGAGCAAGUUUCAAGAGUAGCGUUGCUUGAAAGUGCAACGUGAAUGAGGAGAUAAAUUUCUUCUAAAGCUAAAUAUUCACGAAAGACCGAUAGCGAACAAGUACCGUGAGGGAAAGUUGAAAAGUACUCUGAAGAGAGAGUCCAUAAGACCUUGAAACCGCCAGGAGUGAAUGGAUAGUGUGGUUGUAUGGUGGGGAUUUAUAGUUAACUAGAUAUCAACACAAACCUACAGUGGCUCAACUUGAAUGAUCUCGGAUCGCACAGGUUGAGCACACUAAAACCGCACUAUCCUCCCGUCUUGAAACACGGACCGGGGAGUCUUCCAUGGAUGCAAGUCGAAUAGUUUUAAAACUAAAAGGCGUAAUGAAAGUGACGUUGUUUUUAACAAACAACAAGGUGGCAAGGCUCAUAGCCAACCCCAUCGCCCGGUGUAGCUAGAGGCAACAUACGAGGUCGAGCAACCAUGGUAGGACCCGAAAGAUGGUGAACUAUACCUGUACAGACUGAAGCCAUGGGAAACUCUGGUGGAAGGUCGUCGCGGUACUGACGUGCAAAUCGUUCGUCCGAUAUGGGUAUAGGGGCGAAAGACCAAUCGAACCAUCUAGUAGCUGGUUCCCUC